RNAcentral lists this ribosomal RNA (392 nucleotides) under uncultured bacterium. Its description in RNAcentral is "bacterial SSU rRNA". It matches the Rfam family "Bacterial small subunit ribosomal RNA", at positions 28 to 424 of the family's 1533-position model. The record is from RNAcentral.
GACGAACGCUGGCGGCGUGCUUAACACAUGCAAGUCGAGCGGUAAGGCCCUUUCGGGGGUACACGAGCGGCGAACGGGUGAGUAACACGUGGGUGACCUGCCCUCAGCUCUGGGAUAAGCCUGGGAAACCGGGUCUAAUACCGGAUAUGACUCCAUGACGCAUGUUGUGGGGUGGAAAGCCUUGUGCGGCUGAGGAUGGGCCCGCGGCCUAUCAGCUUGUUGGUGGGGUGAUGGCCUACCAAGGCGACGACGGGUAGCCGGCCUGAGAGGGCGACCGGCCACACUGGGACUGAGACACGGCCCAGACUCCUACGGGAGGCAGCAGUGGGGAAUCUUGCGCAAUGGGCGAAAGCCUGACGCAGCGACGCCGCGUGAGGGAUGACGGCCUGGUU